Eptesicus fuscus (big brown bat) is the source of this 118-nucleotide small nucleolar RNA. The record is from RefSeq and is a predicted model, not a curated record. NCBI's taxonomy places the organism in Eukaryota, Metazoa, Chordata, Mammalia, Chiroptera, Vespertilionidae.
UAAUCCACUUGUGAACGUAGCUGCUGCGGUCAAAAAGGAGCCCAGAGUGACAGUUUUCCUUGACGGUCGCCGUUCUGUUUGCUGUAACCGAUCUGCAACAUUUCAGGAAAAGACAAUG